RNAcentral lists this small nucleolar RNA (88 nucleotides) under Henningerozyma blattae CBS 6284. Lineage: Eukaryota; Fungi; Ascomycota; Saccharomycetes; Saccharomycetales; Saccharomycetaceae. The record is from RNAcentral.
AUGUUUAUGAUGAUAACUUUCUCAGCUCACUCAGAUCACAAAUGAUCGAUAAAUUUUCCUAUCCAACAAUUAGAUUACUGAUUUUCAU